GAUGAACGCUGGCGGCGUGCCUAAUACAUGCAAGUCGAGCGAACAGACGAGGAGCUUGCUCCUCUGACGUUAGCGGCGGACGGGUGAGUAACACGUGGAUAACCUACCUAUAAGACUGGGAUAACUUCGGGAAACCGGAGCUAAUACCGGAUAAUAUAUUGAACCGCAUGGUUCAAUAGUGAAAGACGGUUUUGCUGUCACUUAUAGAUGGAUCCGCGCCGCAUUAGCUAGUUGGUAAGGUAACGGCUUACCAAGGCAACGAUGCGUAGCCGACCUGAGAGGGUGAUCGGACACACUGGAACUGAGACACGGUCCAGACUCCUACGGGAGGCAGCAGUAGGGAAUCUUCCGCAAUGGGCGAAAGCCUGACGGAGCAACGCCGCGUGAGUGAUGAAGGUCUUCGGAUCGUAAAACUCUGUUAUUAGGAAAGAACAAAUGUGUAAGUAACUAUGCACGUCUUGACGGUACCUAAUCAGAAAGCCACGGCUAACUACGUG
RNAcentral lists this ribosomal RNA (497 nucleotides) under uncultured bacterium. RNAcentral's name for it is "partial 16S ribosomal RNA". It matches the Rfam family "Bacterial small subunit ribosomal RNA", at positions 28 to 507 of the family's 1533-position model. The record is from RNAcentral.